CGUCUAUAUACGUAUAGAUAUCAAUAAGCGGAGGAAAAGAAACUAACUAGGAUUCCCUCAGUAACGGCGAGUGAAGCGGGAAGAGCUCAAAUUUGAAAUCUUCAAGGUUCUACCUUGACGAAUUGUAGUUUAAAGAAGUGUUUUCUGUUGGAGUUUUGGUAAAAGUUCUUUGGAAUAGGACAUCAUAGAGGGUGAGAAUCCCGUAUUUGACCAUUAUUUCCAACUUUGUGAUACACUUUCAAAGAGUCGGAUUGUUUGGGAAUGCAGUCCAAAAUGGGUGGUAAAUUUCAUCUAAAGCUAAAUAUUGGCGAGAGACCGAUAGCGAACAAGUACCGUGAGGGAAAGAUGAAAAGAACUUUGAAAAGAGAGUUAAACAGUACGUGAAAUUGUCAAAAGGGAAGCGUUUGACACCAGUGUUGUUUUCUCGAAAAUCAAUUAAAAAUGGUGGGAUUUUGUGUUGUAUUGACUUUAUCAGCUUUCUGCACUUUUUUCCUGUCUUUUUUAAUGCACUUUUCGUUUAACAAGUCAACAUCAAUUUCUUUUGUUGUAAAAGAGUCAUUGGAAGGUGGCUUUCUUUUCGGAGAAAGUGUUUAUAGCCUUUGACUUCUGCAAUCGGAGAGAUUGAGGUCUGCAGCGUAGAUCCUUCGGGGUUAGAUACAUUUGUGCUAAGCUAUAGCCUUUCAUAGACAACUUGUUGACUAUGAUCAGUCAUGUAGCUUACUCGCUUAUGCUAUUUUACCUACGCUUAGGAUGUUGACGAUCAGCUGAGCGCG
This 773-nucleotide ribosomal RNA is filed under the name uncultured Neocallimastigales. Its description in RNAcentral is "partial large subunit ribosomal RNA". It matches the Rfam family "Eukaryotic large subunit ribosomal RNA", at positions 26 to 628 of the family's 3401-position model. Lineage: Eukaryota; Fungi; Neocallimastigomycota; Neocallimastigomycetes; Neocallimastigales. The record is from RNAcentral.